RNAcentral lists this ribosomal RNA (265 nucleotides) under uncultured bacterium. RNAcentral's name for it is "partial 16S ribosomal RNA". It matches the Rfam family "Bacterial small subunit ribosomal RNA", at positions 793 to 1055 of the family's 1533-position model. The record is from RNAcentral.
GUCCACGCCCUAAACGAUGUCAACUGGUUGUUGGACGGCUUGCUGUUCAGUAACGAAGCUAACGCGUGAAGUUGACCGCCUGGGGAGUACGGCCGCAAGGUUGAAACUCAAAAGGAAUUGACGGGGACCCGCACAAGCGGUGGAUGAUGUGGUUUAAUUCGAUGCAACGCGAAAAACCUUACCUACCCUUGACAUGUCUGGAAUCCCGAAGAGAUUUGGGAGUGCUCGAAAGAGAACCAGAACACAGGUGCUGCAUGGCCGUCGU